GAAGAAGUCGCCCCGGCAGCUCGAUCCGAACUCUGCUGCUGCUCCGAGGCCGAUGGGUCGUCGCAAGCGACGGGACUGGGCGGAUCGGGAAAUGAGUCCCAUUCCGGGAAGUUCAGCAUUGGCGCUGUGUCGUGUUGGAGGGUGAGAUUGUUGCCCGCCGCUGCUCGUCUCCGACCUCUGGCCCGGGGUGAGGUUCUGCGUACAGCUGCAGGCCGUCGGUUUUCAGAGUGCCUGAGUUGGAUGAGAAGCGUCCCGCCGAAUUGUGCGCCUCUGCGCGACAGCCCCCGCCGGUCUGUCCCUCGCCAGGAGCCUCACCGGGCUUCACGUCCGGUGUGUUCUCACAGAAACCAAAAUUGGAGAAGCGGUGUGUUUCCUUUGAGGCAUCUCUUGACGCUGCUUCACGCGGUGCUGGCUCGCUGUCGGUCACGCGCUCAGGUGAGUGCUCGGUGUCGGGAGAGUGGCCGGUCUGCUCCUUCACAUACUGCGCGGGGACGUAAAAGGGCCUGGCGUGCCGGUCCCUGCGGACGCGCCACCAGUGGUCGUUGGUCUUCGACACCAGGAUGAAGCUUUCGUUGGGCUUGAUGGACACGCGGCGGCCGUCCUUCGCUGUGUACUCAAACUCGUGCUGCACCGACACGAGCCCCAUGCUCCGGCGUGGCCUCUCGAGUCAACAUCCGAACAUCACGGAGCUGCGGAAAUAGAGGAAACGUGAAUGUGAUGUGGCUUUCAAAAAAAAAAGAGAAGAAGCUAUUAUAAAUGUAUGUCAGUGUCACAUUUAAACUGCACUCUGAUAUAUGGGAAAACCCACCAGACUGAUAAGAUUUUGUGAUAUUUUUCUACUCCUUGUACUCCUUGUAGUACUUUUGUGUCAUUUUGGAGUAAUUUUUCCAAUGUUUUAUGUCUCUUUGUAGUCGUUUAGUGUCUUUUUGUCGUACUUCUGUAUCUGUUUGUGGCCAUUUUGACUCUCUUUGUUGUAGUUUUGGUUCCCUCUUGUCCACUAGCCACAGUUUAUGUCUUUUUGUAGUUGUCCAGUGUCUCUUUGUUGUAGUUUUGGAUAACAUUGUGUCUUUUCUGUGUUUAUGUUGAUGUUUUAUGCCUCUUUGUGGGGAUUUUUGCAGUCUUGUGACUGACUUCACAACUAGAAAUGUUAUAAACAGCCAUGGUUGUAAUUACCAUGAGGUUCAGAUUUGAACGUGAGUAUGAACAAAAGCGCGGCGAAUAUUAAAAAGCCACUUUCUUUAUGCUGCAUGUAGGAAAAGACAGGAAGUUGCUUCCAUUUGCUGCAAAGCAACUUCAGCCUAAAGAUCACUAGAGCAGCAGACUGAAAAUUGCUGCGCAGCCACAAAACAGGAAGCCUGCACCGACCUAAACUCGGCGUCGGCCUGACGUCAGCCGGCAAUCUCAGUUUUCUUCUCUGGGUUGGUUGCAGCCAUGAAGCCCCUCAGCGUACUUGUUGUCUCCUACAACACACACGUUACGACAAAACGACAGUAUUUUUGCGUUAGCAGCUAUUUCACUCACGAGUUUGUGUUUUUUUGUAGCCAUAUUAUUAAAUCUUCACGUAAACCUGUUAUUUUUAAAACGUGGGGAAACUGUUACACGUUAAAAAAUCAUAGGAAUAAUAUAGAAAAUCGAAAAAGUUAACCAACAUGGGAAAAAUGUCUUUACGAAGCCCCGUGACUCAAGUUAAGUUUAAAACACAACACACUGAUGGAUUUGGCAACUUUAAGUUUGAUUUUACUGUCAGAUACGUCCUGUCAACUGUACUGCUCAACAACUAAUAACAUCCUGAGGCUCCAGAGCAAUAAUUCAUCUACCUGCCUGAUUUUGUGCCCAAGGUUUUUCCUCCGUCAACAGCCGAGAGCCAGACUCGUACAGGCACAAGCCGCCGCCUGGACGCGUUGCUUCUGUUUCAUCUGCCUCGCUCUUGUUUCCUGUUCCCGUGUGUGAAUGUUCGUCUCAACCUGCAAGGGGCCACCAGCGAACAUCGCUGCACUGACGCCACGAGAAAUGGGAAGUCUGAUUUUAAAUUUGUGAGUUAUUUUCGUGGCAUUUUCCCGGACAGAUGGGGGGGGGGAGGGCUGGCAAGAGCGGCAAGACCGUGGCACAUUUAUUUUGAUAUUACAACACAGCAAUGCUAAAAAUGUAAGAGACUAUGUUUUUUAAAAAGGAGGAGGAAAAAGGGAAUACUGUCUUUUCUUUUAGGCAGAUGAUAGACAUACUAAAAAUGUACACACAACACCAUUCUGCCUUCUAAAUGUCAAGGACACAUGAGGAGGUGUAUUGGUAGUUGUGUGUUUAUCACCACUGACAACCGCUUCACCCACCACACACUGAAAAAGAAAAACGCCCUCUGCUGGAAGUUACACUCAACUACAAUCGACCAUGUGUUUUCAAGUUCUGUCGUAAGAUUGUUGGAGUUAGGGAAGGACUUACCACGUGGGGGAGGUACCCCGGCCAAUGUGUCACUACCCAUCAUGCACCGCGAAACAUUUAAAACGCUCCUGAAUUCAUCGUUUGGAUUUUAACAAUUUAAAGUGUAAUAAUCGUGUCCAACAUACGAUAGAAGUCAUUUCGCGCGUCCCCGUCAAUCGAUUAUAUACCUUUGGCGGACAACUGAUUACGUGACACCGUCAGUGUAUGAUGUGUGUCGGCGCCUCACUCCCUCUUGUUUCACAAAGAAGUAGCAAUACACUCAUGUUUCUCUUCAUAUCGUAUAAAUCUUUCGCCUUUUACUAAAGAUUUCCGUGGAGAGGAACAUUAUGAGUUCAAACGAAUUUUUUGAUGCCCUGCCUCGUGCGGGGCUUCCUGAGAUGUUCAAAGUAAUAACCCAAAUUAAUGAGCGAAAUUCUCUAUAUUAAAAUGUCUUAGUGAACAGGAGCAAUAGGUGAUGAUUGAGCUGCUUGUUCAGAAAUAAAAAUGACA
Long non-coding RNA from Scophthalmus maximus (turbot), 2925 nucleotides. RefSeq lists it as uncharacterized. The transcript has 2 exons. The record is from RefSeq and is a predicted model, not a curated record. NCBI's taxonomy places the organism in Eukaryota, Metazoa, Chordata, Actinopteri, Pleuronectiformes, Scophthalmidae.